RNAcentral lists this ribosomal RNA (291 nucleotides) under uncultured bacterium. RNAcentral's name for it is "partial 16S ribosomal RNA". It matches the Rfam family "Archaeal small subunit ribosomal RNA", at positions 455 to 747 of the family's 1478-position model. The record is from RNAcentral.
GUGCAGAGCCGCGGUAAUACCGGCAGCCCGAGUGAUGGCCGAUCUUAUUGGGCCUAAAGCGUCCGUAGCUGGCCGAACAAGUCCGUCGGGAAAUCCACGUGCUUAACACGUGGGCGACCGGCGCAAACUGUUCGGCUUGGGGCCGGAGGACCCGAGGGGUACGUCCGGGGUAGGAGUGAAAUCCUGUAAUCCUGGACGGACCGCCGGUGGCGAAAGCGCCUCGGGAAGACGGACCCGACAGUGAGGGACGAAAGCUGGGAUCUCGAACCGGAUUAGAUACCCCUGUAGUCC